GAUGAACGCUGGCGGCAUGCCUAAUACAUGCAAGUCGAGCGAACGGACGAGAAGCUUGCUUCUCUGAUGUUAGCGGCGGACGGGUGAGUAACACGUGGAUAACCUACCUAUAAGACUGGGAUAACUUCGGGAAACCGGAGCUAAUACCGGAUAAUAUUUUGAACCGCAUGGUUCAAAAGUGAAAGACGGUCUUGCUGUCACUUAUAGAUGGAUCCGCGCUGCAUUAGCUAGUUGGUAAGGUAACGGCUUACCAAGGCAACGAUGCAUAGCCGACCUGAGAGGGUGAUCGGCCACACUGGAACUGAGACACGGUACCGACUCCUACGGGAGGCAGCAGUAGGGAAUCUUCCGCAAUGGGCGAAAGCCUGACGGAGCAACGCCGCGUGAGUGAUGAAGGUCUUCGGAUCGUAAAACUCUGUUAUUAGGGAAGAACAUAUGUGUAAGUAACUGUGCACAUCUUGACGGUACCUAAUCAGAAAGCCACGGCUAACUACGUG
RNAcentral lists this ribosomal RNA (497 nucleotides) under uncultured bacterium. Its description in RNAcentral is "partial 16S ribosomal RNA". It matches the Rfam family "Bacterial small subunit ribosomal RNA", at positions 28 to 507 of the family's 1533-position model. The record is from RNAcentral.